UCCAAUUCAAGAUUGUCCUUAACCAAAACUAUUAUUUUAUAGGCACCAGGGCCAAAGCAUAUACAUAUAUAUGUAUUUCACACCUCCCAACUGCUUGGUACAAUGAAGGAAAGCUAGCAGCAGCAAAUGAAAAAACUGAUCCUAGGCUCUACAGGAGUCACUGUACUUGGAAAAGGAGAGCAGGGAUGUCUGCUGUAGGCACAGACCAUGGGCAUGAAUGGCUCAGAAGCUGGUGGAACUAGUUGUAGUCUGGGCCAUGCACUAAUAAUCAAGGUAGGUACUAUGAAACUCAAUCCUCCCACCUCCUCUACUGAAAGAUGAUAUAUUACCUAUGACUACAGCAUACAAACCUUAACCUCCCUAGAUUGAAGCAACUCCAAUGUGAAUACAAUUAACAGGGAACCCACGGUAGGGUAUGCUGAGCAAUGCAAUUCAAAUGCCAAAUGUGGAGAACAAAGAUGGUCCUGAUAAUUCUGCUAAAGUAGUAUUUUGCUUAGAUCACAUGAGUCUUAUUAUUCUGGACCAGGUAUUUAACAAAAUAUAAAGAUAUCUAUUACUUUUUGCAAAGAGCUCAGGACCCACAGGACUACCUCUGGUAUCGUCAAGGCUCAAUACAUCAUGUUCUGUGCCUGUAUUUCACAAGUUAGGCAGCUAAUUAGAGACCUAAAAUACAAAACACAUGCACAAAAAGCUCAUCAUCUCUGUCUCCUAUACAGAAUUUGUUUCACUAUGAGGGUGCCAGAUCAAUUUAAAACUUUUGUUGUUUCCUUCCUUCAUAAGUCAAAUGUCAUCAGGUGAAAUCUGAUACCAGGGACAGUACAGUGUUGAUAAAGAUAGUAAAAUAUUGAUGCUAGUAUCAUAUUUUUUUGAUGACCAUAAAUUUUAUACAAUUGGGAGCAAUAUUUUGAUAAAUUAGAUAUUAAAAAAUUUUAAAGCACUAACAGAUUUGAUAAGCUAGAUCAACAAAAAAUGUUUUAAGCUGCCAUGUAUUUUUUUCCAGGCACUGAACAAACAGUUUAUUGUUCCAAGUCUGUCUGGGAGCCCUUGCUUUGGGUUGUAAUAGGAUGAAUGUAAUUGUAGAAUAGGAUUGCACAAAUACAGAAGUCAUGCCCUAAAGGCUACAGCAACAAAUUAAUACAAAUAAUUCUGGCAGUCUUAUAAAAUUACAUCUAUCUCUGUAGAUAUUUCACUUUUGUGUCAUCAAAAACACAGUUUGUAAAAAUAUUUUCAAACUUUUUUUAAACUUCAACAGUAAUCAAAGUUAUCUGACUGCAAGUAACAUCAAAAUGCUAGCAAAUAGACCAUUUUAAUCAGUUUUAUUGAUUCAUGCUUCCAGUUC
RNAcentral lists this long non-coding RNA (1339 nucleotides) under Homo sapiens (human). Its description in RNAcentral is "HSALNT0041893". Lineage: Eukaryota; Metazoa; Chordata; Mammalia; Primates; Hominidae. The record is from RNAcentral.